Molecule: ribosomal RNA, 253 nt
Filed under: uncultured bacterium
Lineage: Bacteria
Also listed under: 1 other name
Description: partial 16S ribosomal RNA
Rfam family: Bacterial small subunit ribosomal RNA
Source: RNAcentral
UACGAAGGGUGCAAGCGUUACUCGGAAUUACUGGGCGUAAAGCGUGCGUAGGUGGUUCGUUAAGUCUGAUGUGAAAGCCCUGGGCUCAACCUGGGAAUGGCAUUGGAUACUGGCGACCUAGAGUGCGGUAGAGGGUGGCGGAAUUCCCGGUGUAGCAGUGAAAUGCGUAGAUAUCGGGAGGAACAUCCGUGGCGAAGGCGGCCACCUGGACCAGCACUGACACUGAGGCACGAAAGCGUGGGGAGCAAACAGG